RNAcentral lists this ribosomal RNA (443 nucleotides) under uncultured bacterium. RNAcentral's name for it is "partial 16S ribosomal RNA". It matches the Rfam family "Bacterial small subunit ribosomal RNA", at positions 28 to 507 of the family's 1533-position model. The record is from RNAcentral.
GAUGAACGCUGGCGGCAUGCCUAACACAUGCAAGUCGAUCGGUAAGGCUCUUCGGAGUACACGAGAGGCGGACGGCUGAGUAACGCGUAGGAACACACCCUGCAGUGAGGGAUAAGACACCGAAAGGUGUUCUAAUACCGCAUACGGUCUUCGGAUUAAAGCAUUUAUGCGCUGAAGGAGUAGCCUGCGUCAUAUUAGAUAGUUGGUGAGGUAACGGCUCACCAAGUCGAUGAUGUGUAGCUGGUCUGAGAGGAUGAUCAGCCAGACUGGAACUGAGACACGGUCCAGACUCCUACGGGAGGCAGCAGUGAGGAAUAUUUCACAAUGAGCGAAAGCUUGAUGGAGCAAUGCCGCGUGCAGGAUGAAGGCCCUCGGGUUGUAAACUGCUUUUAUAAGAGAAGAUUAUGACGGUAACUUAUGAAUAAGGGACGGCUAACUACGUG